AAGCCUACUGUUUGGGAUGAGAUUCUGCAGUCAGUCAAUAUACUAGAAUAUUUUUAAUUUUUAGACCGAUUUAUUAAUUAUUGGAACACCAAUGAGUCUAGCUCUCCCUUUCAUACGCACAACUUAUAUACUAGUGUCCAUGGGUGCCAUGGCCAAGCAUUUCUGUGAGAAGAAACAGCAAAAAAUAUAUUGAUUACUUCUUACUUGCCAACUUCUAUAGCUUAAAGAGCCAAAUUAUUUUUAAGUAACAUUAAAUUUAGAAAAUUGCUAUAAUACUGGGCUAAUGUACUGUGUAUAAGUUGAUAAAAUUUCUGACAACAAAGUGGUUAAAUACAAAAUAAGGAAGCUUGUCUGGAUUCAUUGUAAACAAAAUAUGAUGUAUUAACACAGUUUUCUACAGUUCAGGUUCAGAUCAUUCAAAGCACCUUUUGUGUAUGUGCACUUAUUUUAAGAUCUGAGGUGUGGCCAAGGCUUUGCACGUUAUUGAGAGAACAUAUUCACAAUACAAAACAUAUUCAAGACAUUUUCUAUGUUUAAAAUUUAUAUCCUUAUCACUUGGAAUAUAGUAUCUUCAUGGUUACAAUCUCAAAAUUAUCUAAAAGGUAUUUUAAAAAAAUAUUCUAAUACUUAUUUUUUGUCUCAGCUUCAAAAUAUGUUUCAAGCACCUUCAAUGUCACCUUCAAUUAAAACAUGAUAUAUUUUUCAGCAAAGUAUAGCACUAACGCAUAAAGACAAUUUUUGCUUGGAAACAGCAGUGUGAAAACACAACUACUACAAGAGCUGACUAUUUUAAGGUUGUAUCUCUAUUAACAAAAAGUAAACAUGAAUGAAAAUGAACAUGUCAGACUUGUGAAAUCAGUUGCCUCACUAUUUCCAAAACUUUGACAGACAGCAUUCCAUUAACACCAUCCUAACUUACCCCACAUAAAAAUAAUAAGUGGCAAGCAGAUAUUGAGAAUCACAGUAUGGCACAGAAGUUCUCAAGCCAGAAGCAAACAAUUCAGCUCAUUUGGGAAUAUUUUGGCUGUUUACAACAAACGAUAGUUGCAUUUCAAAAGCAAAUAUUAAUCUGUGGAAGAAUAUAGGAGGUAGCUUUUAACUGCACCUGGCUGCGAACUAAAGAAUGAUAGGAAAUCACCUUUUGUAGUGAUUUGGCCAAGCCAUUACAUUUACAUUAACACUCCAGACAAAGAAACAUGGGGGAAAAACAGCCGAAGAACUUAAAAUGUUAUAUCAUGGAUUACACUUUACACCAUUAAACACAAACUUUUGGAUUAAAAAUGACUCACUUUGAGACUUUUCAAGGUGCUAUAUACUACAGUCAUUAAGCCUUUGAGCUGAGAGGAGAGAUUUAACAAUGUACUGUGUAUAAAACAACAGUAGCAGUGCUGUAGUUUUGAUCUCUCCAGCCUCUAAGAAUUAAAGAAGCAAAAAAUCAAUUAAUGCAAAUCACUAGACUGGUGGCUUUCUAAUGUGGGUGACCAAGAAGGCAACUUGGUAGCCCUGUCUCUUAAGUCACAGUUCUAAAAAAAUAGUAUAGGGAACAAUUCUGCACCAGCAGAGGAAUAGCCUAGAUGCUACAUUAGGCUUUUCCAUCUCUAAUUCUAUGAUUCUAGUAACACUGCAUCACAGACUAAUUCUUUAGAAUCUGAUGCCAGAAUCAAGUGCUGGAAGGAGCUAGGGAAAAAAAUGCGUUACAGAGCUAUGGUUAUUAGCACAGAUAUUAGUGCUAUUAAUUAUCUACCAGUGAUAUUACAGAUAGGCAAACUGAAUUCUGGUAACUUCAAAAUGUUUUUAUAUUUUAUGCAGUGUGGUGGGGAAAAACAUGGGUAGAAGGGAGACGGUUAGGGAAGAAUCGUUAUGUAAAUAAAGACAAAAAAAACUGACUCUUUCCAUAUGACAGAAAGCAAAUGAGAACCUGUACCCUUUUAUGAUGUAUCACAUGCAAAAUGAGAAGGUGUAAUAAAAUUGAAGAAACAUAUACAGCUCAUAUCUUAAUACUGUAAAAUGAGAAGUAUCUCUAAAAAUGCAAGUACAACAAUGAAUGGUAUUCAGAACAUUUCAAAUGUUUUGUUCUUCAUAAUACUAUUUACAGUAUUUUCAAUCAGCUACAGCAGAUGCAAAAGAGUCCGUUACAGUAAAAGGGAAGUUUUCAAAAAAUCAGUGCAAUUAUUUUCUGUUUAAAUUGAAAUUUUCCUUAGAAAAGAUUGUAGGUAUGCAUUUAGAAGCAAGUUACUAAAUAGAAUAUAAAAAUCAAAAAUAUACUGUCCUGUGUUAGAAACUGAAAAAGUCAGACUGGAGCUAACAGCCACAGUGUUGAUUAAACCAAAGGAGAUGUUACUUUUGGAGAAAUUUUCAAAAUAGAAA
Chelonoidis abingdonii (Abingdon island giant tortoise) is the source of this 2367-nucleotide non-coding RNA. Lineage: Eukaryota; Metazoa; Chordata; Testudines; Testudinidae. The record is from RefSeq and is a predicted model, not a curated record.